Pelobates cultripes (western spadefoot toad) is the source of this 460-nucleotide non-coding RNA. The record is from the annotation of a GenBank genome assembly. NCBI's taxonomy places the organism in Eukaryota, Metazoa, Chordata, Amphibia, Anura, Pelobatidae.
CAUACACACUACACAAACACAGUACACAUACUGCAUUACAUACACACUACACAGACACACACACUGCAUUACAUACACACUACACAAACACACACUACACAAACACACACUGCAUUACAUACAUACACACUACACAAACACACACACACUGCAUUACAUACACACACAAAAACACACUGCAUUAUACACACACACUACAUAAACACUGCAUUAUAUACACACACUCUGCAUCCACUACACACACACACACACACAAACACACACAGUUCCCCUGUCUAAACACACUUCAUCCACUACAUGUGGCAUGUAUAUUUUGUGCAUUUACCUUUCGAAUUAGUUUAUUUAUUCAAAAUAGUAAAUGUACAGAAUAUCGGCAAGAUAUCGGCUAUCGGCCUGAAAGUUCGCAGAUUAUCGGUAUCGGUAUCGGCUCUAAAAAAUCAAUAUCGGUCGAUCCCUAAGU